Molecule: long non-coding RNA, 1403 nt
Organism: Brassica napus (rape)
Lineage: Eukaryota; Viridiplantae; Streptophyta; Magnoliopsida; Brassicales; Brassicaceae
Exons: 2
Source: RefSeq, a predicted model, not a curated record
UGAAAUCUUAUCCCCAAAACCUCACGUCUCAACUCUAAACCCUAAAACCUAAACUCUAAACCCUAAACUCUAAAUUAUAAACCCUAAACCCCACCCCUUGAGUGCUAUUUUUGUGACUUUUGGACUUGAGUGCUAGUUUGGGAACAAAAACUUGAUUUAGUGUUAUUUUGGUCUUUUUCUCUUUUUAAAAUACAAAUUAUAUACCUAUUAAACAUAACUACCAUUAAAAGUUUAUACUAUUAAUAGAAUUAUAUGUGGUAAUGAUCACAUUUGAAUAAUCUAUCACAUAUUCAUAUGGAUUUAUUGUUAGAGCAAUUAUAUAAUAGAUUAUGAGAAAAUAAUAAAUGAAUUCAUUUAAAUUAUGUAAAGUAUUUUUAUAGUUAGAGAAAUAUAAGUUAAGACCAAAUAAAUACUUAAGUCUAAUGAAAUGGUCCAACAACCUUGUUUAAGUAGAUUUUUUAGGAGUGAUUCCCUUUUAAUAGUAUAGAUAAGAAACAUAACCAAUAACAUUAUAGAUUUACACAAUAUAUAACACUAAAAUGUAAAUUGUAUCUUUGAAAGUUUUGUGAUGGUAUAUGUUAUAUAUUUAUAAAAUAAAAAUCUACCCGCACAUAAAAAAAACCAGUGUGGUAUGAAAAGAUCUUCGACAUAGUUUAAGUACUAUCUUCAUGCAAUAAUUUUCAUAAAGUUGACUAUGGUGUAUGUGAAUUUGUCAAACCUUUAUAUUUAAAUUGUUAACCGUAAAAUCGUCGAUAUAUUAACUUUUUUUUUUAUCAGUGUUAAAAAGGCGCUAUUAGGCUACAAUGUACUGUACAUGGUAUUAUGGUUAUGUUUGAAAGAAGGCAACCAACAUAAUGAUGACCCUAAACUACUACAUAUAUUGGGUCUGAGGGAUCGUAAGUAAUUAAAAAUAAGCCCAUAUUAUAGCUGUAAAGGCCCAAACGUUUUAACUAGCCCGGCCUGUUUAGAGGAAUCGUGAUCGGUGUUUUCUUCCGACCAAAUAUUUCAGAUAAGCAGAAGACGAGAGAGAUUGCCGAAGCCGAGGAAGCUAACGAUUAAGAGGGUAACCAAAUGUGAAAUGGAACUGUAGAAACAACCAUGGGUUGUUCGAUUUCCUGAAGAAGCAAAGGGUGCCUUGUUGUGCGGCUGCUAAGCUUCAGUGAGUCACACCGUGAUAUUAAGAUUUAUGGAAGGCCAUUGACUAUCAAGUAUCAACAUAAGCUUUCUUAGCAAGGACAGUUAGAUGAACCACACUUGUAAUAAUAAGAUUAGAGGGUUAUUAACUUGUAAGUCACACUUUCUUAGCAAAUCUCAUUACAAUUAACUCAAGCGUGUUACAUCAAACUUAGAAACUAAUCCCUUCUCAAGGGUACAUUAAUACAUCACCCAAGAUAAAUACACUU